AUGUAUUGAUGUGUUAUCCACAUAACAAUGCAAAUAUGUUGUGGUUACAGACAGCGAGCGCAGAUCAGGUGGAACUACACCUGCUGACGUCACAUUGGCUAUUUAAGUAGUCAGGUACACAUUUUCAGGUGCAAGAGACCAGUCUUACUCAGAGCUCCAAGGUGGUAGUAGUAGUAGUAGUAGUAUCUGGACAUACACUUUUCACUGCUUCAGAAAGCUUCAGAAGACACUGCUUGAAGCCUCAACAUGAAGUUCACCAUGACCAUGCUGGUGACCUUGCUGGCUUUGCUGCUGUCCAGUCUGGUGAGGAGCGCUCUGUGUUCAAACUCUUCAAGCCAAUGCUGUACUGCCAGUCAAAGGUGCACACCGUGGCACCCGCACAACGGAACGUCACUGAAGCUACCGAAGGUUCUCGUCCAAACUGCUGAUCUUGGGAAAAUCGCACAGGCCCGCUGGAAUUACACAAUGGACAGUAACGAAGACAGGACACCACAACACAUCCAGAAUGCUACCUGCUUGCGUUGUGUGGACGAGGGGCUGAAGGCAGUGCCGAUUCAGUAUGAGAUUGAUUUAAUUCACAGAAUAAAAUGUGGAGUUAAAAAGAUUACUUGUAAGUGUCCUUGCAGGGUUAAUGUAGGCUGCACCUGUGUGAGAGAAUAACUCUGUGUGAAAGAGAAGAACUGGCGAAGUAUUUCUGCUAGGUAUCUUGCUGCUUCCUGAGUAGAGUGUAUAGGCCUAUGUAUUGUUUGCAUCCCAAAUGAUUCCCUAUUCCCUAUAUAGUGCACUGCAGAAACAAAUAUAUAUAUAUUUUAGGGUUUUACCAGCAUUUGUAACUUGAGUCUGAUAAUUAUCUGUACAAAACAGUUAAUGUGAUAAUACUUGUGGAAUAUUUUGUUGUUGUUGUUGAAACGCUUGAUAUAUGUUUUCCAGUUUCUUGAAAUAAUUUGCAAAGGCGACUUAUUUCUAUGUGAAAAACUGAACUAUUCAUUCCUUUUCCAUUAUAAUAGAUGUUCCCAUCCAGAGGAACUUAUAGUAGUGAGUGCAUAUAUUUUCAUGCUCGUUCCCUUUGGGAAUCAAACCCACAACCCUAGCAUUGCAAGCGCCAUGCUAUACCAAUUGAACCACAUCCUCACAUGACAUCAUCACAAACCACUUGAUGUCUCAAUUUACUCAAUUACUGUAUUGGUCAUUGUUUAUCUCUAUGGUGAUAGAAAGUCUACAGGUACAAAUGUAGAUGACAAGCCUAUGUACAAUAUAGCAAUGUACAUUUACAUUAAAUGGUUUGUAAGGAUGGUAAAUUAAUACUGCUCAAAAAGUGGUUGUUUUCCAUGUUAUUUGAUCAAGAAAAAUAUUUAAUUUGAUGUGGAUAUGUUGUGUCUUUGCACCUUUUGAUGUGAAAUGUUUGAGGACAGAGUUUUGAUCUUUCUGGAUUCCAUUAGAAUGACAUCACAGAGAAAGGGCCAGGGGCAAAAACUCUUACAAUUACAACUAUUGAAUCCUGGAAGAUUCUGUUCUUAAUUAUACAACUACCUUUUUUGCCAAAGCUGAGAAGCUGAACAAAUGUGUCCAUGCUACAGACAUCUAUAUCUGUCUGCUAAUACUAGUAAAAGGCCAAAUGCACUACUUUUGUGAAGAAAAAAAAAUAAAAAUGAUUGAAGUGGAUUUAACAAGUGACAUCAAUAAGGGAUCAUAGCUUUCACCUAGAUUCACCUGUUCAGGCUAUGUGUGGAGGUCAAUUAAGGCAGCCCCCCCCCCCCCCCUCCCCCUCUCUGAUUCAGAGGGGUUGGGUUUGAAUACGGAAGACACGUUUCAGUUAAUUGCAUUCCGUUGCACACCUGACUAGGUAUAUCCCCUUUACCUUGUCAUGGAAAGAACAGGUGUUCCAAUUUUCUUUUCACACUCAUUGUAUAGUAAUCUGAAUUUACUCUACCUCCUUCUUUUGACUUGUGAUAUGUGGUUACUUUACCUACCGUAGUUAAAUGCACUGACUGUAAGUCGCUCUGGACAGGGGCAGCUGCUAAAUUACCUAAUGUAAUGUAGUGUACUGUAAUGUAAAUCUAAAAUAACCUCAUUUCUUUUUAGCACUGAAUGGAGCAAAGGGCCUAAACAUUUCCAGUGAACACUGCUCUGGUUUUUUUAAUAGCCUAGACUCCUCUAGAGGGGUUGAAAAACUAUUGAUUUAAAAGAAAAACAGGGUUUUGUGUAUUGUGCUAUACAUGUUUAUCUCUUGUAGAGAGUUUCUUAUAUUAUGCUUUCGAUUGGUAUUGUUCUUAAAUGUUAGCUAUGUAAUUUGACUUGUGUGAUAUAAUUAUCAAAUACCUAUUCCAUGUCUUUGUUUAUUAAUAAUUUCCAUUGUUUCAUUUCUUAAGGAAAUAUCAGCUUCUUGUGUAUUUGAUUUUAUUCAUGCAUUUUGUCCAAUUGAAUGUCUAAUAAUGUAUUGUGUUUGUCAACAACUGAAUGGUUAUCUUGUUUAAUAAAAUAUUAUUGAUCUACC
RNAcentral lists this long non-coding RNA (2494 nucleotides) under Salmo salar (Atlantic salmon). RNAcentral describes it as "lncRNA (ENSSSAG00000106623.1)". The record is from RNAcentral. Lineage: Eukaryota; Metazoa; Chordata; Actinopteri; Salmoniformes; Salmonidae.